RNAcentral lists this ribosomal RNA (460 nucleotides) under uncultured bacterium. RNAcentral describes it as "partial 16S ribosomal RNA". It matches the Rfam family "Bacterial small subunit ribosomal RNA", at positions 338 to 795 of the family's 1533-position model. The record is from RNAcentral.
CCUACGGGGGGCAGCAGUGAGGAAUAUUGGUCAAUGGGCGUAAGCCUGAACCAGCCAAGUCGCGUGAGGGAUGAAGGUUCUAUGGAUCGUAAACCUCUUUUAUAAGGGAAUAAAGUGCGGGACGUGUCCCGUUUUGUAUGUACCUUAUGAAUAAGGAUCGGCUAACUCCGUGCCAGCAGCCGCGGUAAUACGGAGGAUCCGAGCGUUAUCCGGCUGUAUUGGGUUUAAAGGGUGCGUAGGGGGCCUUUUACGUCAGCGGGGAAAGUCUGUGGAGCAACCAUAGAAUUGCCGUUGAAACUGGGAGGCUUGAGUAUGUUUGAGGCAGGCGGAAGGCGUGGUGUAGCGGUGAAAUGCUUAGAUAUCACGCAGAACCCCGAUUGCGAAGGCAGCCUGCCAAGCCAUGACUGACGCUGAUGCACGAAAGCGUGGGGAUCAAACAGGAUUAGAUACCCCUGUAGUC